UACGAAGGGUGCAAGCGUUGUUCGGAUUUAUUGGGCGUAAAGGGUGCGCAGGCUGGUUUGUAAGUCAGGUGUGAAAUCUCGAGGCUUAACCUCGAAAUUGCGCCUGAAACUGUAAGUCUAGAAUGUCGGAGAGGGAAGGGGAAUAUCUUAUGUAGGGGUAAAAUCCGUAGAGAUGAGAUGGAACACCAGAGGCGAAGGCGCCUUCCUGGACGAUUAUUGACGCUGAGGCACGAAAGCGUGGGGAGCAAACAGG
This 253-nucleotide ribosomal RNA is filed under the name uncultured bacterium. RNAcentral describes it as "partial 16S ribosomal RNA". It matches the Rfam family "Bacterial small subunit ribosomal RNA", at positions 524 to 776 of the family's 1533-position model. The record is from RNAcentral.